CUUUCAAGCGAGUGGCGAACGGGUGAGUAACACGUGGAUAACCUGCCUCAAGGCUGGGGAUAACAUUUGGAAACAGAUGCUAAUACCGAAUAAAACUUAGUAUCGCAUGAUAUCAAGUUAAAAGGCGCUACGGCGUCACCUAGAGAUGGAUCCGCGGUGCAUUAGUUAGUUGGUGGGGUAAAGGCUUACCAAGACGAUGAUGCAUAGCCGAGUUGAGAGACUGAUCGGCCACAUUGGGACUGAGACACGGCCCAAACUCCUACGGGAGGCUGCAGUAGGGAAUCUUCCACAAUGGGCGCAAGCCUGAUGGAGCAACGCCGCGUGUGUGAUGAAGGCUUUCGGGUCGUAAAGCACUGUUGUAUGGGAAGAAAUGCUAAAAUAGGGAAUGAUUUUAGUUUGACGGUACCAUACCAGAAAGGGACGGCUAAAUACGUGCCAGCAGCCGCGGUAAUACGUAUGUCCCGAGCGUUAUCCGGAUUUAUUGGGCGUAAAGCGAGCGCAGACGGUUGAUUAAGUCUGAUGUGAAAGCCCGGAGCUCAACUCCGGAAUGGCAUUGGAAACUGGUUAACUUGAGUGUUGUAGAGGUAAGUGGAACUCCAUGUGUAGCGGUGGAAUGCGUAGAUAUAUGGAAGAACACCAGUGGCGAAGGCGGCUUACUGGACAACAACUGACGUUGAGGCUCGAAAGUGUGGGUAGCAAACAGGAUUAGAUACCCUGGUAGUCCACACCGUAAACGAUGAAUACUAGGUGUUAGGAGGUUUCCGCCUCUUAGUGCCGAAGCUAACGCAUUAAGUAUUCCGCCUGGGGAGUACGACCGCAAGGUUGAAACUCAAAGGAAUUGACGGGGACCCGCACAAGCGGUGGAGCAUGUGGUUUAAUUCGAAGCAACGCGAAGAACCUUACCAGGUCUUGACAUCCUUUGAAGCUUUUAGAGAUAGAAGUGUUCUCUUCGGAGACAAAGUGACAGGUGGUGCAUGGUCGUCGUCAGCUCGUGUCGUGAGAUGUUGGGUUAAGUCCCGCAACGAGCGCAACCCUUAUUGUUAGUUGCCAGCAUUUAGUUGGGCACUCUAGCGAGACUGCCGGUGACAAACCGGAGGAAGGCGGGGACGACGUCAGAUCAUCAUGCCCCUUAUGACCUGGGCUACACACGUGCUACAAUGGCGUAUACAACGAGUUGCCAACCUGCGAAGGUGAGCUAAUCUCUUAAAGUACGUCUCAGUUCGGACUGCAGUCUGCAACUCGACUGCACGAAGUCGGAAUCGCUAGUAAUCGCGGAUCAGCACGCCGCGGUGAAUACGUUCCCGGGUCUUGUACACACCGCCCGUCACACCAUGGGAGUUUGUAAUGCCCAAAGCCGGUGGCCUAACCUUCGGGAGGGAGCCGUCUAAGGCAGGACAGAUGACUGGGGGUGAAGUCGUAACAAGGUAGCCGUAGGAGAACCU
This 1442-nucleotide ribosomal RNA is filed under the name Leuconostoc citreum. RNAcentral's name for it is "bacterial SSU rRNA". It matches the Rfam family "Bacterial small subunit ribosomal RNA". The record is from RNAcentral. Lineage: Bacteria; Bacillati; Bacillota; Bacilli; Lactobacillales; Lactobacillaceae.